Molecule: non-coding RNA, 184 nt
Organism: Canis lupus familiaris (dog)
Lineage: Eukaryota; Metazoa; Chordata; Mammalia; Carnivora; Canidae
Source: Rfam
AGCUUUGCACAGUGGCAGUAUCAUAGCCAAUGAGGUUUAUCCGAGGUGCAAUUAUUGCUAAUUGAAAACCUCAGUAGGCACUCAGCUCCCACUCACAAUGGCCAGUCAAAACCAGCAUGCACAUACCAAGAGUGGGAACAAGGGCCAGAGUGGGUGAUUUGGAUUAUUGCUGUGCCUCUAGCCA